GACGAACGCUGGCGGCGUGCUUAACACAUGCAAGUCCAACGGAAAGGCCCUGCUUUUGUGGGGUGCUCGAGUGGCGAACGGGUGAGUAACACGUGAGUAACCUGCCCUUGACUUUGGGAUAACUUCAGGAAACUGGGGCUAAUACCGGAUAGGAGCUCCUGCUGCAUGGUGGGGGUUGGAAAGUUUCGGCGGUUGGGGAUGGACUCGCGGCUUAUCAGCUUGUUGGUGGGGUAGUGGCUUACCAAGGCUUUGACGGGUAGCCGGCCUGAGAGGGUGACCGGCCACAUUGGGACUGAGAUACGGCCCAGACUCCUACGGGAGGCAGCAGUGGGGAAUAUUGCACAAUGGGCGGAAGCCUGAUGCAGCAACGCCGCGUGCGGGAUGACGGCCUUCGGGUUGUAAACCGCUUUCGCCUGUGACGAAGCGUGAGUGACGGUAAUGGGUAAAGAAGCACCGGCUAACUACGCG
Molecule: ribosomal RNA, 468 nt
Filed under: uncultured bacterium
Lineage: Bacteria
Description: partial 16S ribosomal RNA
Rfam family: Bacterial small subunit ribosomal RNA
Source: RNAcentral